AGAGUUUGAUCCUGGCUCAGAUUGAACGCUGGCGGCAUGCCUUACACAUGCAAGUCGAACGGCAGCACGGGGGCAACCUUGGUGGCGAGUGGCGAACGGGUGAGUAACAUAUCGGAACAUACCCUAGAGUGGGGGAUAACGUAGCGAAAGUUACGCUAAUACCGCAUACGAUCUAAGGAUGAAAGUGGGGGAUCUUCGGACCUCAUGCUCAUGGAGUGGCCGAUAUCUGAUUAGCUAGUUGGUGAGGUAAAGGCUCACCAAGGCGACGAUCAGUAGCUGGUUUGAGAGAACGACCAGCCACACUGGAACUGAGACACGGUCCAGACUCCUACGGGAGGCAGCAGUGGGGAAUUUUGGACAAUGGGGGCAACCCUGAUCCAGCAAUGCCGCGUGAGUGAAGAAGGCCUUCGGGUUGUAAAGCUCUUUUGUCAGGGAAGAAACGGUGAGUUCUAAUACAGCUUGCUAAUGACGGUACCUGAAGAAUAAGCACCGGCUAACUACGUGCCAGCAGCCGCGGUAAUACGUAGGGUGCAAGCGUUAAUCGGAAUUACUGGGCGUAAAGCGUGCGCAGGCGGUUAUAUAAGUCAGAUGUGAAAUCCCUGGGCUCAACCUAGGAACUGCAUUUGAGACUGUAUGGCUAGAGUGUGUCAGAGGGGGGUAGAAUUCCACGUGUAGCAGUGAAAUGCGUAGAGAUGUGGAGGAAUACCGAUGGCGAAAGCAGCCCCCUGGGAUAACACUGACGCUCAUGCACGAAAGCGUGGGGAGCAAACAGGAUUAGAUACCCUGGUAGUCCACGCCCU
This 800-nucleotide ribosomal RNA is filed under the name uncultured bacterium. RNAcentral describes it as "bacterial SSU rRNA". It matches the Rfam family "Bacterial small subunit ribosomal RNA", at positions 8 to 803 of the family's 1533-position model. The record is from RNAcentral.